RNAcentral lists this ribosomal RNA (978 nucleotides) under uncultured marine bacterium. RNAcentral describes it as "bacterial SSU rRNA". It matches the Rfam family "Bacterial small subunit ribosomal RNA", at positions 55 to 1030 of the family's 1533-position model. The record is from RNAcentral.
AUGCAAGUCGUGCGAGAAAGUACCUUCGGGUGCGAGUAGAGCGGCGGACGGGUGAGUAACGCGUAGGAAUCUACCUAGUAGAAGGGGAUAGCCCGAGGAAACUCGGAUUAAUACCGUAUACCUCCUUAGGGAGAAAGAGGGCUUAGCUUUGAUGCUCUCGCUAUUAGAUGAGCCUGCGUAAGAUUAGCUUGUUGGUGAGGUAAUGGCUCACCAAGGCGACGAUCUUUAGCUGGUCUGAGAGGACGAUCAGCCACAUUGGGACUGAGACACGGCCCAGACUCCUACGGGAGGCAGCAGUGGGGAAUAUUGGACAAUGGGCGCAAGCCUGAUCCAGCCAUACCGCGUGUGUGAAGAAGGCUUCCGGGUUGUAAAGCACUUUAAGUAAGGAGAAAAAGAUUGUAGUUAAUACCUGCAAUCCUUGAUGUUACUUGCAGAAUAAGGACCGGCUAAUUCCGUGCCAGCAGCCGCGGUAAUACGGAAGGUCCAAGCGUUAAUCGGAAUUACUGGGCGUAAAGCGCGCGUAGGUGGUUUUUUAAGUUGGAUGUGAAAGCCCUGGGCUCAACCUAGGAACUGCAUCCAAAACUAGAUGACUAGAGUACGAAAGAGGGAAGUAGAAUUCACAGUGUAGCGGUGGAAUGCGUAGAUAUUGUGAAGAAUACCAAUGGCGAAGGCAGCUUCCUGGUUCUGUACUGACACUAAGGUGCGAAAGCGUGGGUAGCGAACAGGAUUAGAUACCCUGGUAGUCCACGCCGUAAACGAUGACAACUAGCUGUUGGGAGACAAGAUCUCUCAGUGGCGCAGCUAACGCUUUAAGUUGUCCGCCUGGGGAGUACGGCCGCAAGGCUAAAACUCAAAUGAAUUGACGGGGACCCGCACAAGCGGUGGAGCAUGUGGUUUAAUUCGAUGCAACGCGAAAAACCUUACCUACUCUUGACAUACUUGGAAGCUCUUGUAAUGAGAGUGUGCUUUUAGAGCCAA